CACACACACACACACACGCACACAGAGUUUUCCCUUUCCAUUGCUUGUAUAGACUUCUUUAAUGUUCCUUCAAAUGUUAAAUCAUUUUAGAGACAAAUUUAAUAUGAUGUUUGGGGAAUGUCUGCAAGUGAAGUGGUGGCAUGGAAUUGUGGUUAUUGGCUUUAGCUUCAUUGAGCUUGCAAAAUAUCCUGGAUGUUUUAGACUACUUAAGAUACAAUUUAAUUUUGGAAUCUGAAUUUUUACAUGAGUUAUGCUGGCUAUGUCAUAAAAAUCAGGAAAUCCUAUCUUCAAAUUAUUCUUUAGUUGCCAUGAAAAGACUGAAUGUUGGGCCUUCUAAUGGCAUCUCCUUUUACUGCCAUGCAUGUGAUGCAAAACUUUAGUUGUUAAUGGACCAAGGACUUAGUUUUGAUAAGCAAAAGAAAAGUGCUCUCUAAAUAUCAAAACGUCUAUUCAUAAGCAAGUGAACAUAUAAUAUUCAGUUAGGCUUUUCUUUUUAAAAUUAUAUCUUUUCUGUUUUCCAGAUAGUAGGGUGGCAUUUAUGUUUUUCCAUUUGAAUUUAAUCUUUGAUUGUUGGAAUGUCUCAAAGCGAGUUGAGUUGUGAUGAUGAGAUUAGAAGUAGUUUGUAUACAGUAGGCGCACCUGGGAUAUUCUUGCCUUUUUUUAGAAGGAGACAAAGCUUUAUCAGGUCCUAUUCUCUUCCCUCUGAAACAAUAAAGAAACAGCUUUUGCUUGUGAAGUUGUUGCUGACAACUGAAGCAUUAAAUUCUCUUAUUUGAUCAUAAUGGACAUUUCAGGAUAGCUAAGGGAACAAUGACUUUGAAAUCACAGAUUUUCCUAUUAAAUUUAAUAAAAUACUGUAUUUCCUGCCCCCAAUAGGACUACACAUAAUAAUUUCUUCCAGUUUCAGUGGUGGCUCUGUGAUGAUUAUCUGUGAUGAUUAUCCAAAUAGUUUUCUAUUACUUUUGUCUUAUAAUUUAUCAUUUUAUUGUUCAUGAUCUUGCUGUUGUAUUUUCAAUUCUUAUUGUCUUGACAUGCAAUCAAUGGAUGCACUGAAUAUGAAUUCUUGCCAACCUUGUUUUGUUACUGAUAUUCUAGGGGCCCAUUUAUCCGGCUGGGGG
RNAcentral lists this unclassified non-coding RNA (1118 nucleotides) under Hevea brasiliensis (rubber tree). Lineage: Eukaryota; Viridiplantae; Streptophyta; Magnoliopsida; Malpighiales; Euphorbiaceae. The record is from RNAcentral.